CUCCCUAUAGCUUAAUGGUAGAGCGGUCGGCUGUAACCCGAUAGAUACUGGUUCGAUUCCAGUUGGGGAGA
Molecule: transfer RNA, 71 nt
Filed under: Candidatus Woesearchaeota archaeon
Lineage: Archaea; Nanobdellati; Candidatus Woesearchaeota
Description: tRNA-Tyr
Rfam family: tRNA
About the family: Transfer RNA (tRNA) molecules are approximately 80 nucleotides in length. Their secondary structure includes four short double-helical elements and three loops (D, anti-codon, and T loops).
Source: RNAcentral